GAUGAACGCUAGCGGCAGGCUUAAUACAUGCAAGUCGAGGGGCAGCACAGGUAGCAAUACUGGGUGGCGACCGGCAAACGGGUGCGGAACACGUACACAACUUACCUUAGAGUGGGGGAUAGCCCAGGGAAACUUGGAUUAAUACCCCAUAAAACAGGGGGCCCGCAUGGGCAUAUUGUUAAAGAUUUAUCGCUUUAAGAUGGGUGUGCGUAUGAUUAGGUAGUUGGUAGGGUAAAGGCCUACCAAGCCGACGAUCAUUAACUGGUGUGAGAGCACGACCAGUCACACGGGCACUGAGACACGGGCCCGACUCCUACGGGAGGCAGCAGUAAGGAAUAUUGGUCAAUGGACGGAAGUUUGAACCAGCCAUGCCGCGUGAAGGAUGAAGGUCCUCUGGAUUGUAAACUUCUUUUAUAGGGGGCGAAAAAGGGCCAUUCUUGGUCAACUGACGGUACCCUAUGAAUAAGCACCGGCUAACUCCGUGCCAGCAGCCGCUGUAA
Molecule: ribosomal RNA, 500 nt
Filed under: uncultured bacterium
Lineage: Bacteria
Description: partial 16S ribosomal RNA
Rfam family: Bacterial small subunit ribosomal RNA
Source: RNAcentral